AAGGAGAAUUUAUACAAGGGCAAAGUAAGGCCGACGGGAGAAUUUUAAUUGAGGAGUAAACGUAUCAGAUUAAGCAAUAGGGUGGAGGCGUGCUGAUCAGAGUCGAUGCUACUUAAGUAAAUAAGUGUGGAUCUCUCGACGCUUCGUGUCUUCCUACGCGAAGUCGUUUUCUGGACUUUUUCCGCUGCAGUUUGUUAAGAGAGUAUAAUGAACUCUCAUCAUCGAAACUCUGAUUCAUUUUGAUGAAAUGCCAUUGUUAUUCAAAUCCUUGUAAUCGAAUACUUGGAUCUUAUCUAUCAUAUUGUUUGACUUUUCAAUGUGCAAGUUCUAUCUUCAUUUCUUCCA
Molecule: long non-coding RNA, 345 nt
Organism: Salvia splendens (bonfire salvia)
Lineage: Eukaryota; Viridiplantae; Streptophyta; Magnoliopsida; Lamiales; Lamiaceae
Exons: 2
Source: RefSeq, a predicted model, not a curated record